RNAcentral lists this long non-coding RNA (1534 nucleotides) under Lathyrus oleraceus (garden pea). RNAcentral's name for it is "Pisum sativum (pea) long non-coding RNA (PSAT_LNC031793)". Lineage: Eukaryota; Viridiplantae; Streptophyta; Magnoliopsida; Fabales; Fabaceae. The record is from RNAcentral.
UAAAAUCAAACAUUAAUAUUCUAAUUAUUAAUAAUAACCUAAAAUUCUAAUUAAUCUAAUCCUAAAAUCAAACUAAACUAAUUAACAUUAUAAAAUCAAUAUCUAAAAUUAAUAUCUAAAAUUAAUAUCUAAAACUAAUAUCUAAAAUUAAUAUCUAAAAUCAACUGUAAUCAACCUAAUUAAAAAUAAUAUUCUAAAAUCAAAACUAAUUAAUCAAAAUUUAAAAGAAUUAGUCCAAGAUGCAUCUAAUUAAAUGAAAUUAGUGUAAAACAUGAAUGGCCAAGCUAGCCCAAGAAAAAAUAAAAACCGGAGGGAUCAACCUAACUUGGGCCCAAACGCGGCCCCGAUCCAGAUUGCACCAACGUUAUUGAAAAUCAUACGCAGGGAAGAGGACGGCAAAUGAACGACCAUUCGAUGAUGUCUCCCUUUCACAACCAGAACAAAAAAUGUGAAAUCGUGCGCUACUCCGUUCCAGGAAUCAACACGAGCGAUAACCACAUAACAAUCAUCCAUACACACUCGACUCAAUGAUUAAACCACAUGACCAAACUCGGACUUGGAUCGACGACAGUGGAACGGAUCUCCAGUUCACGACGAGCGUAAAUCGGAGUUUUAAGUUGUCGUAUCUCAUCCAUAUUAAGCAUAAAGUUGUUUGAGCGUAUACCUCUGAGAAUUUCGACGUGACGGCAACCGCGAGAUAAUUUUCAGGUUCGCUUCGAUUCACGAUAUCCUUCCAGUUCUUGCUUGGAUUCAUCAUCGUUUGCUGAAGCUUGGAUUCAUCAUCGUUUGCUGCUAUGCGUUUAUGCUAAUAUUGCUUGGAUUCAAAUUUGUCGCUGUUGUGCGUCGAUUUCCUUUUUAUGUUUGGAUUUGCUUCGUUUUUUUGAGACUUGCAUUGUUGUGGGUUGUGUGAAGAUUGGUGAGUUUUGUGUGUAAUGAAGGAUGAAUUUUGUGGAUUAAAGGUUGUGCAGCGCUGAAGGUUUAUGUGUAUUCUGAGUUGGAUUUGUUGAAGAUUGAAGGUUUUGGAUUGCAGGUUCAAUAUGUUGAGGGAGUGAAGGGUUCAAUUGUGUUGAAUUCUGGGUUUCUUGUUAUAAUUUUGGUUUGCAUGUGUCUUGGAAGAUGUAUAUUGAAGUGGAAGGUUAUGGAGGGUUGUUAGAACGGAAGAAUGUUAGAGGUGAUGAAGAUGGGAGCGCGGGGAUUUUGUUGUGCGGGUGAGAAUGACUCGUCCCAGAAAACCCUUAUGAAAUGCCAGUUCAGUGGCUUUUAUAGAGUUCAUCAACAUUGGAUUUGUGAUUUUAGUUUGUUGUGGAAAAAUUAUGGAUUUGCAGGGCCAUGUUUCUUAUUGCAUUUGUUCAUUACGUGCUUGUACCUAUAUUUUUUUUUGCUAUUUGGAUUUUGCAACUUGGUGUUUGGGCCUUGCUAUUUGUUAUUUUGGGCUUUGCUAUUUUCAUGUUAAUCAUUUACUCAAAGUUGAAUGUUGAGUUCUAUUCUAGAAAACAAAAAUGAGAUGGAUGGGCCAAAGCCUUCAAUUAAACAA